UUUAAACUUUCCCUUUAAGGUGUUGAUGUUGUAGCGAAACCGUGUAGUUCGUCGACCUGAAGGAGAACCAAACUUUAAUGUGUUCUAUCAACUUCUUGCUGGACUAGAUAACAAUCUUAGAAGAUUCACUGAUGGCGAAUGGUCAAGCAUUCUUUCCGUUCUUUGCAGCAUUUACCAUUUGGAUCAGCAGAUUGACCAAUUCAUGCUGGUAUGUAUAUGCACUGUCGUACUGUCUAGUAAGGCUAACCAGCGUAGAGUCGACCGAGCACCAUCAAAUGUACCCUGGCAAGAGAACAGCUUACAUUAGCAUUCUUUUUAUGUUACAAGAGAUGAAGACUGAUUUAUAAUGAAAUGUAUCUCAUAACAACCCCUGCGAAAAAAAUUACAUCAAACCUUGACUAUGAUAUAUCCAUGGACAUAGUUCUCUACAGCAAAUUGCUUCUUGAUUGAUGGUGAAUGUUCUGUAUAUUUUCCUAAUAUUUAUUAUCUUACGAAAUUAGUUAAUUUGUUAAACUUCAUGUACUGGGUAUUCAAGGCAAAUCGAUAAUAUACAACCAUUUUGUAAUAUUGAGGAAUUUAACAAUGAAAUAAUUGUUAUGUAAUGAUCUUUGGAGUAUUUGAUAUAUAUCUUAAAAUGUUGAUCUCCAAACUUUACAUCUUGCACAUAUUUUCGAUGCAAUAUCGUUUGCACUAAUGUCCGUUUGCACUAAUGUCCGAUUGAACUAACUCCGAUCAAUCAUUAGUGCAAAUAAUACGACAUUUUAUUUUCUUUUGCCUUUUGUUUAUUGUAUCUUUAUUUUCUUGAGUAAAUUGUAUUACUUAUGCCAGACAGAAAUGAUUUAGUUAUUAUAUUUUCAAACCAAAU
Eurytemora carolleeae is the source of this 865-nucleotide long non-coding RNA. RefSeq lists it as uncharacterized. The record is from RefSeq and is a predicted model, not a curated record. The transcript has 4 exons. Lineage: Eukaryota; Metazoa; Arthropoda; Copepoda; Calanoida; Temoridae.